This 343-nucleotide ribosomal RNA is filed under the name uncultured bacterium. Its description in RNAcentral is "bacterial SSU rRNA". It matches the Rfam family "Bacterial small subunit ribosomal RNA", at positions 29 to 375 of the family's 1533-position model. The record is from RNAcentral.
AAUGAACGUUGGCGGCGUGGAUUAGGCAUGCAAGUCGAGCGAGAAGGUUUCUUUUGCUUGCAUUAGAAACCGGAAAGCGGCGAAAGGGAGAGUAACGCGUAGGGUACCUGCCCCCAGGUCUGGAAUAGCAGCGGGAAACCGCUGGUAAUACCGGAUAAUGUCUCCGGACCAAAGGUGUGAUUCCGCCUGGGGAUGGUCCUGCGUCCUAUUAGUUUGUUGGUGGGGUAACGGCCUACCAAGGCUUUGAUGGGUAGCGGGCGUGAGAGCGUGGCCCGUCUCACUGGGACUGAGACACUGCCCAGACACCUACGGGUGGCUGCAGUCGAGAAUCUUCCGCAAUGGG